AUACGUAGGGGGCGAGCGUUGUCCGGAAUGAUUGGGCGUAAAGGGCGCGUAGGCGGCCCGGUAAGUCUGGAGUGAAAGUCCUGUUUUUAAGAUGGGAAUUGCUUUGGAUACUGUCGGGCUUGAGUGCAGGAGAGGUAAGUGGAAUUCCCAGUGUAGCGGUGUAAUGCGUAGAGAUUGGGAGGAACACCAGUGGCGAAGGCGACUUACUGGACUGUAACUGACGCUGAGGCGCGAAAGUGUGGGGAGCAAACAGGAUUAGAUACCCUGGUAGUCCACACUGUAAACGAUGAAUGCUAGGUGUAAGAGGUAUCGACCCCUUUUGUGCCGGAGUCAACACAAUAAGCAUUCCGCCUGGGGAGUACGGCCGCAAGGUUGAAACUCAAAUGAAUUGGCGGGG
This 397-nucleotide ribosomal RNA is filed under the name uncultured bacterium. Its description in RNAcentral is "partial 16S ribosomal RNA". It matches the Rfam family "Bacterial small subunit ribosomal RNA", at positions 523 to 918 of the family's 1533-position model. The record is from RNAcentral.